Molecule: ribosomal RNA, 118 nt
Organism: Labrus bergylta (ballan wrasse)
Lineage: Eukaryota; Metazoa; Chordata; Actinopteri; Labriformes; Labridae
Source: Ensembl
GCUUACGGCCAUACCACCCUGAACACGCCCGAUCUCGUCCGAUCUCGGAAGCUAAGCAGGGUCGGCCUGGUUAGUACUUGGAUGGGAGACCGCCUGGGAAUACCAGGUGCUGUAAGCU